GCCCUUGUAGCUCAGUGGUAGAGCACCACCAUGGUAAGGUGGGGGUCGCCGGUCCAAUCCCGGCCGAGGGCU
Molecule: transfer RNA, 72 nt
Filed under: Candidatus Ornithospirochaeta stercorigallinarum
Lineage: Bacteria; Pseudomonadati; Spirochaetota; Spirochaetia; Spirochaetales; Spirochaetaceae
Description: tRNA-Thr
Rfam family: tRNA
About the family: Transfer RNA (tRNA) molecules are approximately 80 nucleotides in length. Their secondary structure includes four short double-helical elements and three loops (D, anti-codon, and T loops).
Source: RNAcentral